UACGAAGGGGGCUAGCGUUGUUCGGAAUUACUGGGCGUAAAGCGCACGUAGGCGGAUAUUUAAGUCAGGGGUGAAAUCCCAGAGCUCAACUCUGGAACUGCCUUUGAUACUGGGUAUCUUGAGUAUGGAAGAGGUAAGUGGAAUUGCGAGUGUAGAGGUGAAAUUCGUAGAUAUUAGGAAGAACACCAGUGGCGAAGGCGGCUCACUGGUCCGGUACUGACGCUGAGGUGCGAAAGCGUGGGGAGCAAACAGG
Molecule: ribosomal RNA, 253 nt
Filed under: uncultured bacterium
Lineage: Bacteria
Description: partial 16S ribosomal RNA
Rfam family: Bacterial small subunit ribosomal RNA
Source: RNAcentral